This 65-nucleotide transfer RNA is filed under the name Opisthorchis viverrini. RNAcentral describes it as "tRNA-Ile". Lineage: Eukaryota; Metazoa; Platyhelminthes; Trematoda; Opisthorchiida; Opisthorchiidae. The record is from RNAcentral.
GCAGGCUACUGUGAUAUAGUGGUUGUGGGAUUAAGUCUCCGUCGGUACGUUGCUGUUCUUUGGGG